GCCGGGCGGGAAGGGCCGGUGCUGCCACCUGCCGCACGGCUCCAGAGGGAGGGGAGCGGGGAACGGGCGGCUGCGCGGGAAGCGGCCGCGUGCGCAUCUCUCCCCCCACCCCCUCGCAGGCGGCGGCUCGGGAGGAAGCCCGGAGCGGGACGGACGAGCGACGGCUGGGCUGCACGGCGGGGCAGGAAGGCUUUCGGGAGGCUGAAGCACCAUCACCGCCGCGAUUACCACCUCUCGGCCCUCUCCAGCUCCGUGUUCCCGGGGGCGUUCGCGGGCUGCAAUAACGCGGCCUUCCAAAGGAGCCCCCAUCACCUGCCCCAGUGCGGCUCGCACCCCGGAGCGUGGCUGUGGCCGCAGCUGGCAUCGCAGCCGCACGCAGCGCCCCGCAGCCCGCCGAGCCGCCAGCACCGCCGCCUGCAGCCGCCACACGGACCGGGCCGCUUCGACCGGCCCCGCAUCCUGCCGCCCGGCUACUACCGAAGCUGUGCGGAACACAAUCUCUCAAACGUUUGCGGGAGGCCCGUUUGAAAGCUGAAACCGUCGUUCAAUUUGAUGAUUAUUUCCCUUCUCCCUUUCUUUCUUCCUCAAAACACCACAGAGCUCAGAAAAGUGUUCACAAGAGCCAAUUACUGCACCUGGGUUUUCAAACAGAGAAAACUGGACACUUCACAUGGAAAGGCUUAUAUGAUGCAAUCCUUUUAUUCCCCUCCCUCUCCGUCCAGAAGUGCACGUUUCAAGCAGUUCCCAUAUUAGCAGCUUCUCAGCUCAUCACUCAGGGGAAAUGCAUAAAGCCAAGUGGAACGGCCCUACUUGAAGCUACAGGCAGGUGUAGACGCCCCUGUUUUAAACACAGAGGUCAGAUUUUCUGUUUAGGGCUCUUGUAAAGGCUGAGUGAGCACUGCCUGCUACCGGAACAAGGACUCCACGUCAUUAGAUGAUUCUGAGUAUUUGCAAGUUGUUGCCCUUGUAAAGGGUUUUGGUGGUGGCUGUUGUUGCUUAGAAUCUGCACCAUCCUCCUAUCCCUGCAAACAGUCUUGGACUUGCAAGAUGCAUUGACAAGUGUGUAAAGAUAACCAGCCAAGAGGAAAGCAUUACACUUCUCCUAAUAAAGGUGUCUUUCCCCAUUCCACCUCCUGUGUCUUCUUUUCACACCACCAGAUAACAGGGAGGCAGCAGCUGUAACAGCUUCCACAGAUCCCCUUCAGAAGAGCGUAUCACCUGCAGCAGACACUUAGGAGCAACCACACCACAAGAGGGAAAAGCCUUUCAUUCCCACAUAGCAAGCAAAGCUGCAGAAAGCACCUUGUGUUUCCCUUUGGCUCAUACCCUACCUUUGAUGUUUUCCCCCUCCCUCUUUUUCCAGCUGAGCCUAACUCAGCCCUGCAGCACUUGGCAGACUGCACAGACUGUGGUAAACCUCCGUAAGCAUCAGAGCUGCCCAGUGCUCCCACUCACUGGCAGGGCACCAGAAUGGUUCGCAGUGGAAUCUCAUUACAAUUUCCCUUCUGUCCAGUGAGAUUUUCAUGCAAGAAAUCCCAACCAGAAAACCACAUUCAGGGACACAUUCACAGUUCCCAUUUCCUUGGAUCCAAGCAAAAGAAGUGGAACGGGGUUAUGUUUUUGCUUUUGCUACGUAGAGAUUGACACCUGCUUUCACUGCAGACUGUGGUGAUGCACAUUUCAGAAGCAAUCUAAGCUCCAAGAGCAGAUCAUCAGCAGGGAGGAACCUGCAGACCAUCCUCAAAAUCUAUCUCAGACUGGCAGGAGAAUGAAGCCAAUGGGAGGAAGAUGGGGUAAGUGCAGGAAGCCCAGCUCUAUCACAGGUUUCCCUAUCAGUCACUCGAUCUAUACCACAGUUCCUUCUCACCUUGCCUCAGUCCAGCAAAGAACUGAGAUUGUGAAGAGCUGUGAUCAGCUUUGCCCUAGGAAGGUGCCAUUUGUCAGAAGAGGAAGGAGAAGGAAGGUAGCUACAAACAAGCUUCAGGUAAUUCGUGAACAGAACGAGAAAGCAAUUUCUAUCCCAAACAAACUUCACCAUCAGUUGCUUAUUAUUUGAACAGAGAAUGAACUCAUCCUCAGUUCUUGAUAACAAGGCAUUAAGGGUAAGAUUCCACACUGUGAAACCUCAGCCUGCAUGCUUAUUUAGAAAUAAUUUAAACAAGUUUUGGUCAAAAUUUUACAUUCCUCAGAUAAGCUCAGCUUAUUGGCCUGCUAUGGACUGUCAGACCCUCUCUGAAGACCUGGGCGAGAUUAGCAUUAAUACCUGUAACAUUCAGGUGCUAAAGCUAUGAAAUCUCAAGACACAUUCUUCAUGGUCCCCAGAAGAAUAGAGCAACACUGUGUCAGUACAAGCUUUCUAGACUGCUGCUUUAAGUGCUGCUGCCCUGGUAAUGCUACACCAGUAUCACCACAUCAGCUCUACCCUGAACCAUUUUUUGUCACAUAACAGCAAUAAGCCUAGGGCAGACUCCAGGAGGAAGGAAAUACGAAGAUCUCACUCUCUCAAGUGCUGUAUAUGAGAUCAAAGUGUACUGAGUUUACACCGUUUCUUACACCGUACCCCAAAGCUCUGAUGAUAUUUCAUAGAUAGGAUUCGAGAGCUGCUUCCCAUCAGUAGGAUGUUCCAAAGCAGGGAAAAUGAGGCGCUGGGAUUUAGGAGGUAAGGAAGGAGCACAAGUUUUUACAGUUACUACCCAUAUGUUCAACAGUAGUGACUGAUAAUACAUCAGUGGUAGGCAUUCUUAUCACUAGCCAGAGCUGCACAGUGCUGGAAGCUGUAAAGUAGCACCAUCCAGCAAACGGCACUUCACACCUCUCUGCUCUGUGCACACUAGGAUUUCCUGUCUGCUGGCAUUCACUCACCUCAGGAGUUAGAAUUUCCUAUGGCCCCUUCAGGUGGGAUGGGUGACAGCUCCAAGGCCCUGACCUUGAAGCACUGUGCCACCUCUCAAAGCACAACUCACCUCAGUUCUGAGCAGUAUGAGCUUGUAGGUAGCUAGGAAGUGACAUUAUACCCUCUGCUGUCACUCCAGAUAGAUGCAAUUUCCUUGUAAGAUGAUGAUGAUUACUUUUUAAAUCAACCUUCAGCAUCAACACAGCACUGCUGAACCCACAAUUACUACAACUGAACAGAGAAUUCUUUGGCUAACAACUCCCUUCCUUCCUUUAACGUACGUUCAUACUCAUUUUGGAGGUGUACGAUCCAUUCUCUCUUUCUCCAAUUUCAUCUCCACCACAGCCCAGUUAGCCAAGCACUGGUCUUGUUAUCACGCAAGGAAGUACUGAAGAUGUUCAUAAUACACACAACAAGAAAGGCAGGCCAAACACUGAGAUGAUUACACAUAUGAAGCAGACACGCGAACUCCCUCCUUUCAAUAAAGUGCCUGUACAGAACUUCUUGCGGUAGGAACAAACAGUCCAUAAACAACAAAAAAACCUCAGGAGGAACCAGCAGAGGCCCACGCAGCUGAACAAAGUGAAAUGUCCAGUUGUGCAGGAAUCAGCACCGGACACAAGAUUCAUUCCCCUGCCAGCCUAGGGUUCAGGGCUCUGCUCUGUCCUGUGGAAGGCAGCCAGACCAAGCUGUACAGGUGAGAAAUCCUUCUGCUCAGGCAUUUCUAGUUCUGGCUCCCCAACCAUCCCCAUGAACUGGGCUCUGAAAGAUUAAACACAGCACCUCAGUCACAAGGCUGCUGGUUUUAAGUAUCAGAGCAGGUCUCCAGCUAGAAAUAGAAGAGCUUGUUGGAGAUCUGUCAGCUAAGACUUCAGGCCCUGCUGCACAGUGAAAAUACUUCACACCUUUGUUUAAAACAAGGAUGCAAGUUCUAACUAGGAUUCUUGUCAUGUGUUGAGGCAUUAUUAUAUUCUGUCUGUCCCAAGUGACAUGGUAUGUCCAAUUGAGAAAGUGUAAACUUCACCGUUCCGUGUUUCAGAUUUAAAAUGAUGCCAAUAAGGGUUUAAGGCAUUCUCCAGCUAUUAUAACAAGUAAAUACAUCAGAAUCCCUUCAAAAAUGUAACAAUUCUACGCGUUUUCCAUCCUUUGGUACAAAAGUUAUCACACAGUGCAGUAUUUCAAUGGAAAAGUUGCUCCACUUCAGAUGAAUUGGAGGAAGGAACCAUGCAAGAAUAUACAGUUUUACCAGAUGCAAUGCUUCAAAACCCAAGUUUCUUAAAAAAAGAAAGGCCAACACAAAGUCAUCAUCAAGUUCUCUGUUUUAUUUAAGAUUUUAGUUUUAAUUCUGAAGAAAGAGGUACAUUUCCUUGGUUUUAGUUUUAGCGUCAGGUUAUAACCAGGUUUAUCUGUUUCUUUUUUCCUGUCUUUUCAAUACUGCACAAACGUCCAGAAACUACAGGGUUAAGUAAAAGCUGCAGGCAGAGGAGGUCAGAGGUUGCUCCUGAUGAUGAUCAUGUGGCCCCAAUGCAGUGCUAUCCCAGAGUGCCCCAAUCAGGUGAAUCUUUGUGGGUUUUAUUUUCUUUAAAAAAAAAAAAAAAAA
Non-coding RNA from Coturnix japonica (Japanese quail), 4493 nucleotides. Lineage: Eukaryota; Metazoa; Chordata; Aves; Galliformes; Phasianidae. The record is from RefSeq and is a predicted model, not a curated record.